AUCACCCUGGGAUCAUGAGCUGAGCUGAAGGCAGACGCUUGACCGAUUGAGCCACCCAGGCGCUCCUGGUCUCUAUGUAUUUUUAUCAGUUCUGAAUUUUUCUGGGAAAUCUUUCACAUUCUUUCUUAGAUCCAAGGUCUGUAUACAUAAUGUGAUUUAUAACUAUGCCCUAUGGAAAAGAGCACCCCAUUCUUGUCUUUUUGUGUUACAGAUUUCUCUUGUACAAUUUCUCAUUGAAAAUUGCCUUAAAAUAUUUGGAGAAGACAUCACUUCCCUCUUGGGAGAGAACUCAAUGAGUCGUGGUAACAGCGAGCAGGCUGCAGACUCCAGCCUGAAGACUGUGAAAACCCGUUCUUUCAGAGAUAGGGCGUUUUGUCGGGGUUCCAGCACUUCCCAGCACAACCAGUGCACAGCCCCACCUUCCGCAAAGCCAGGACAGCUCUUUGGAGUUCCCCUCAUGGAUGUGUGUGAUAAAGACAACUUCUCCUUCCCAAUUCUGGAUUUUCUUAGAAAUAUACACGGAAGUAUAUUUUUAUCUGAUCACUAUGACAAAUGGCUCGGUGUUAUUGAUCAAGGCAACGAAGAGGAGAAGAUAACUGCAGCCCAGAGGUAAUGAUGCAAUAAUUACUCUGGUCACAUCUCCAAAAUACAGCCAACAUACUAUUCGGCAAACAUUGGCUUACGUUUUGCAGCUUUGCUCAGUAUAAUCAUGACCAAUGCCAAAGAGUUUCCAUUCUUCACACCCAUGGGGGCCAGGUUCAUAAUGGAGACACACUUUAGGGCCAUUAUCGUUCUUUUCCUGAUCUUAUUAAUGUGGAAUCCUUGGCCGUUUUACAUCUUUUGGAUACAUGAAACUGUUAGGGGAAAUCCCCUGGUCCAAGACAGAUGCAAGAACAUCAAUUGCCAGGGCUAUGACCUUAAAGGUCUGUCAAACAUUUAACUAACCAGAGAAGAUUUUAUCUGGCGCAGGAACUGAAGUCAGGGCAACAAUUUUGUAUACAUUCAUGCCUGGAACUCUGCUACAGCGGGUUGUGUGCUAGA
Mirounga angustirostris (Northern elephant seal) is the source of this 1041-nucleotide long non-coding RNA. RefSeq lists it as uncharacterized. NCBI's taxonomy places the organism in Eukaryota, Metazoa, Chordata, Mammalia, Carnivora, Phocidae. The transcript has 3 exons. The record is from RefSeq and is a predicted model, not a curated record.